RNAcentral lists this ribosomal RNA (117 nucleotides) under Eubacteriales Family XIII. Incertae Sedis bacterium. Lineage: Bacteria; Bacillati; Bacillota; Clostridia; Peptostreptococcales; Anaerovoracaceae. The record is from RNAcentral.
GCCGGUGGCUAUAGCGCCGGGGCCACACCUGUUCCCAUCUCGAACACAGUAGUUAAGCUUAUCUGCGCCGAUGAUACUCGGUGGGCGACUGCCCGGGAAAGUAGGACGUCGCCAGCU